RNAcentral lists this ribosomal RNA (834 nucleotides) under Acanthohelicospora aurea. RNAcentral describes it as "LSU rRNA". It matches the Rfam family "Eukaryotic large subunit ribosomal RNA", at positions 75 to 928 of the family's 3401-position model. The record is from RNAcentral. Lineage: Eukaryota; Fungi; Ascomycota; Dothideomycetes; Tubeufiales; Tubeufiaceae.
UUGCCUCAGUAACGGCGAGUGAAGCGGCAAUAGCUCAAAUUUGAAAUCUGGCUCUUUCAGAGUCCGAGUUGUAAUUUGUAGAGGAUGUUUCGGCUUACGCCCCGGUCUAAGUUCCUUGGAACAGGACGUCACAGAGGGUGAGAAUCCCGUAUGUGGCCGGCGGCUUCCGCCAUGUGAAACUCCUUCGACGAGUCGAGUUGUUUGGGAAUGCAGCUCUAAAUGGGAGGUAAAUUUCUUCUAAAGCUAAAUACUGGCCAGAGACCGAUAGCGCACAAGUAGAGUGAUCGAAAGAUGAAAAGCACUUUGGAAAGAGAGUUAAAAAGUACGUGAAAUUGUUGAAAGGGAAGCGCUUGCGACCAGACUUGCCCGCGGAUGCUCAACCGGUCCUUCGGCCGGUGCACUCUUCCGCGGUCAGGCCAGCAUCAGUUCGGGCGGUUGGAUAAAGGCUUUGGGAAUGUGGCUCUCUUCGGGGAGUGUUAUAGCCCAUUGUGCAAUACAACCUGCCUGGACUGAGGCCCGCGCUUCGGCUAGGAUGCUGGCGUAAUGGUCGUAAGCGGCCCGUCUUGAAACACGGACCAAGGAGUCUAACAUCUAUGCGAGUGUUUGGGUGUCAAACCCGUGCGCGUAAUGAAAGUGAACGGAGGUGGGAACCUUUUGGGUGCACCAUCGACCGAUCCUGAUGUCUUCGGAUGGAUUUGAGUAAGAGCAUAGCUGUUGGGACCCGAAAGAUGGUGAACUAUGCCUGAAUAGGGUGAAGCCAGAGGAAACUCUGGUGGAGGCUCGCAGCGGUUCUGACGUGCAAAUCGAUCGUCAAAUUUGGGUAUAGGGGCGAAA